This is a non-coding RNA of Pelobates cultripes (western spadefoot toad), 330 nucleotides long. NCBI's taxonomy places the organism in Eukaryota, Metazoa, Chordata, Amphibia, Anura, Pelobatidae. The record is from the annotation of a GenBank genome assembly.
CCUACCUUUGGCGGCUCAUGGUUGCAGGGGUCAGCAGGGCGGCUGAGCCCCUUGGAGUGACUCCGAGGGACCCGGUCGCAGCUGUGACCCCUGCAACCAUGGUUGUUCUGUCACUGGGCACACACAAUGGUGACUCCAAAAAGCCCGAUCACAGCUGCUACCCCUGCGACCAUGGUAGUUCCACCACUGGGCACACACAAUGGUGAGCUUGGAAAGGGGCAUAUACAAUGGUGGAAAAGUAAAGGAGCACACAUGAGGUACGCAUAGAAAAACACAAACAGGGGGCAGUGGAGAGUGGCACACAAGGGACAUGAGGAGGCACAUAGAGAU